AUGGGUGGUGAUCUUUGACCGAUGCUUAAUGGUGGCGACGCAGGCCAAUUGUGGAGUUGCUGCCAAAUUGGAGCUAAAGCGAGGAAUAUUCUGACGUUUUCCACACAAAAGUAAAAUGUAUACUUUAUCUUCAAAUCCGAAAUUGCAACAGCGGAGGAUGCAUGUGCAUGUACGAGCCAGUCUGCCUUACAACAAGAGGAUGGCAAAAAAGAAGGAGCAUAUUCACUACAGCGUUGGACUACAAUGGCGGACUAGCUGUUUAGUGUCACAAUUUCCUCAGUAAACUCACUGAUUGGAGAGCUAACCUCCGCAGAUAGUGGGUCCAUGGCGGUGACUUCUGUUUUGUUUGAUCAGCCGUUUUACUGCCGUAUUACAGGCACCAAUUAAGUUUUCCAGAUGGCCUCACUCCUCUGUAUCCCAUAGUUCACAGCUCAGAACAUCCCAGAGCAGGCAUUUGCAUCAGGUCACUGCUCGCUCCAACCAACUAGAGGGUAAAAGUAGCGCUAAUCCUCCAAAACAUGCCACCCUGAAAAUGCUCUCUUUGUGAGCACAGCGCAGGGUCGAUAACAAUUCAUUCUGGUAUGUUCCUGUUCAAGCACUUAAUACAUUACAUUUAAAUUUACAAUUAUUUUGAAUAUAAUAUCUCUCUUUGAAUGCAAGUUUUGUAUGUUGCCUGCCGCAAAUGACGUGAGUACCGUAUUUUUCAGAAUAUAAGUCGCUCCGGAGUAUAAGUCGCACCGGCCGAAAAUGCAUAAUAAAGAAGGAAAAAAAGCAUAUAUAAGUCGCACUGGAGUAUAAGUCGCAUUUUUUGGGGAAAUUUAUUUGCUAAAACCCAACACCAAGAAUAGACAUUUCAAUCAAUCAAUCAAUCAAUCAAUGUUUAUUUAUAUAGCCCUAAAUCACAAGUGUCUCAAAGGGCUGUACAAGCCACAACGACAUCCUCGGUACAGAGCCCACAUACAUUUGAAAGGCAAUUUAAAAUAAAUAAAGAAUAGUGAACAACAGGCUGAAUAAGUGUACGUUAUAUGACGCAUAAAUAACCAACUGAGAACGUGCCUGGUAUGUUAACGUAACAUAUUAUGGUAAGAGUCAUUCAAAUAACUAUAACAUAUAGAACAUGCUAUACGUUUACCAAACAAUCUGUCACUCCUAAUUGCUAAAUCCCAUGAAAUCUUAUACGUCUAGUCUCUUACGUGAAUGAGCUAAAUAAUAUUAUUUGACAUUUUACGGUAAUGUGUUGAUAAUUUCACACACAAUUCGCUCCUGAGUAUGAGUCGCACCCCCGGCCAAACUAUGAAAAAAACUGUGACUUAUAGUCCGAAAAAUACGGUAUAUGAAAAAAGGUCUUGCAAUAUGCAUUUCUUGUAUCUGGAUAUCAGCAGGCAAAUAUGGAGGAAAUGCAAAUAUAAUCAUUUAACCCCAUUUUUCAUGAGUUGAACUCAAGGAUCUAAAACUUUUACUAUGUACUAGUGUUGUCUCGAUACCAAUAUUUUGGUACCGGUACCAAAAUUAUUUCGAUACUAUUCAGUACUUUUCGAUACUUUUCUAAAUAAAGGGGACCACAAAAAAAUUGCAUUAUUGGCUUUAUUUUAACAAAAAAUCUGUCUGCCUCCCAGAAUUAAAGCGGACACCUCAAACACAAGUAGGGAUGUACUACUGAGUACCGUUAUUUUUUUAAUCACCGUUUCCUAAUUGGGUCAGUCUAAGGCAGGGGUGUCCAAACUUUUUCCACUGAGGGCCACACACGGAAAAAUUAAAGCUUGUGGGGGCCAUUUUGAUAGUUUUCAUUUUCAAAUCAUAACAAAAUAUAUGGAUUUUUUUUUUUUUUUUACCUUUAGGGCUCCCGGGGACCAUAAAGGGUCUAAGUCAUUAAAAUGUUAAAACGUUGUUUUUUUUUAAUUUAACGCUUACAGUAAAUCUCUACAGUAUAUCAACUUCAGGUUGAUAUAAAAUUUAAAAAACCAAAUAGGUUUUAUGCCUUAUCUGUCAAGACAACUUUGUUUUUUAUAAUAAAACUGAAAUAUGCAGUAUUUCCCCCACUGCCCAAAACAUUCAGAAAGCAAUGUUUGAUGUGAAGUAAUUAGAGCCUUAAAAACAUACAUAAUGCAAGACACCAUUGAUAUUAAUUGAUUGUUAUUUUUGAGUAAUCACAGUGAAAAGAUAAAUAAAAUCCCAUUAAAUAUAUUUAGGAUACAAA
Long non-coding RNA from Entelurus aequoreus (snake pipefish), 2197 nucleotides. RefSeq lists it as uncharacterized. The record is from RefSeq and is a predicted model, not a curated record. The transcript has 4 exons. NCBI's taxonomy places the organism in Eukaryota, Metazoa, Chordata, Actinopteri, Syngnathiformes, Syngnathidae.